Molecule: ribosomal RNA, 460 nt
Filed under: uncultured bacterium
Lineage: Bacteria
Description: partial 16S ribosomal RNA
Rfam family: Bacterial small subunit ribosomal RNA
Source: RNAcentral
CCUACGGGAGGCUGCAGUGAGGAAUAUUGGUCAAUGGACGCAAGUCUGAACCAGCCAAGCCGCGUGAAGGAAGACGGCCCUAUGAGUUGUAAACUGCUUUUGUACGAGGGUAAACGCAGAUUCGCGUAUCUGUCUGAAAGUAUCGUACGAAAAAGGCUUGGCUAACUCCGUGCCAGCAGCCGCGGUAAUACGGAGGAUUCCAGCGUUAUCCGGAUUUUUUGGGUUUAAAGGGUGCGUAGGCGGUCGGAUAAGUUAGAGGUUAAAUCCCGGGGCUCAAAUUCGGAAUUGCCUCUGAUACUGGUCGGCUAGAGAGUAGUUGCGGUAUGCGGAAUGUAUGGUGUAGCGGUGAAAUGCUUAGAGAUCACACAGAACACCGAUUGCGAAGGCAGCUUACCAAGCUACGUCUGACGUUGAGGCACGAAAGCGUGGGGAGCAAACAGGAUUAGAUACCCGUGUAGUC